AGUGCCGCUCUGUAGCANACAGGAAUGGCGCACGGUCGCACGGGGUGCGUAACACGUGGGCAAUCUGCCCUCCNGACUGGGGAAUAACCCCUGCGAAAGCGGGGCUAAUACCGCAUAACAUUCCUGGGAACCCCGUGUUUCCGGAAUCAAAUCCGUAAUGCGUCGGAUGUGGAGCCCGCGCACGAUUAGCUAGUUGGCAGGGUAACGGCCUACCAAGGCAAUGAUCGUUAGCUGGUCUGAGAGGAUGGCCAGCCACACUGGAACUGAGACACGGUCCAGACUCCUACGGGAGGCAUCAGUGGGGAAUCUUGCGCAAUGGGCGAAAGCCUGACGCAUCGACGCCGCGUGGGGGAUGAAGCCUUUCGGAGUGUAAACCCCUUUCGACCGGGAAGAAUACCUCGCAAGAGGGGUGACGGUAUCGGUAUAAGAAGCCCCGGCUAACUACGUGCCAUCAGCCGCGGUAA
Molecule: ribosomal RNA, 464 nt
Filed under: uncultured bacterium
Lineage: Bacteria
Description: bacterial SSU rRNA
Rfam family: Bacterial small subunit ribosomal RNA
Source: RNAcentral